CAACCCUCAAGCCCGGCUUGUGUGAUGGGUGCCGUCCCCUACGGGACGCGCCCCGAAGGCAAUGGCGGCGUCGCGGUUAUCCGAUCAGCCAAAGUGUAUGGGGCUUUGUCACUCACUUUACGGCCCGGACCGGCGCCAGUCCGAAUCAAUCUUUUUUCUAA
This 161-nucleotide unclassified non-coding RNA is filed under the name Gymnoascus reessii. RNAcentral's name for it is "Gymnoascus reesii partial internal transcribed spacer 2". Lineage: Eukaryota; Fungi; Ascomycota; Eurotiomycetes; Onygenales; Gymnoascaceae. The record is from RNAcentral.